AAUCAGCCUGGUGAGGUCCAGUAAUCAGUCUGGUGAGGUCCAGUAGAGUCAGCCUGGUGAGGUCCAGUAGAGUCAGUCUGGUGAGGUCCAGUAAUCAGUCUGGUGAGGUCCAGUAAUCAGUCUGGUGAGGUCCAGUAAUCAGUCUGGUGAGGUCCAGUAGUCAGUCUGGUGAGGUCCAGUAGAGUCAGUCUGGUGAGGUCCAGUAGUCAGUCUGGUGAGGUCCAGUAAUCAGUCUGGUGAGGUCCAGUAAUCAGUCUGGUGAGGUCCAGUAGUCAGUCUGGUGAGGUCCAGUAAUCAGUCUGGUGAGGUCCAGUAGAGUCAGUCUGGUGAGGUCCAGUAGAGUCAGUCUGGUGAGGUCCAGUAGAGUCAGUCUGGUGAGGUCCAGUAGUCAGUCUGGUGAGGUCCAGUAGAGUCAGUCUGGUGAGGUCCAGUAGAGUCAGUCUGGUGAGGUCCAGUAGUCAGUCUGGUGAGGUCCAGUAAUCAGUCUGGUGAGGUCCAGUAGAGUCAGUCUGGUGAGGUCCAGUAGAGUCAGUCUGGUGAGGUCCAGUAGAGUCAGUCUGGUGAGGUCCAGUAGAGUCAGUCUGGUGAGGUCCAGUAGAGUCAGUCUGGUGAGGUCCAGUAGUCAGUCUGGUGAGGUCCAGUAGAGUCAGUCUGGUGAGGUCCAGUAGAGUCAGUCUGGUGAGGUCCAGUAAUCAGUCUGGUGAGGUCCAGUAAUCAGUCUGGUGAGGUCCAGUAGUCAGUCUGGUGAGGUCCAGUAGAGUCAGUCUGGUGAGGUCCAGUAGAGUCAGUCUGGUGAGGUCCAGUAAUCAGUCUGGUGAGGUCCAGUAAUCAGUCUGGUGAGGUCCAGUAGAGUCAGUCUGGUGAGGUCCAGUAGAGUCAGUCUGGUGAGGUCCAGUAAUCAGUCUGGUGAGGUCCAGUAGAGUCAGUCUGGUGAGGUCCAGUAGAGUCAGUCUGGUGAGGUCCAGUAGAGUCAGUCUGGUGAGGUCCAGUAAUCAGUCUGGUGAGGUCCAGUAGAGUCAGUCUGGUGAGGUCCAGUAGUCAGUCUGGUGAGGUCCAGUAGAGUCAGUCUGGUGAGGUCCAGUAGAGUCAGUCUGGUGAGG
This is a long non-coding RNA of Oncorhynchus keta (chum salmon), 1100 nucleotides long. RefSeq lists it as uncharacterized. The transcript has 3 exons. The record is from RefSeq and is a predicted model, not a curated record. NCBI's taxonomy places the organism in Eukaryota, Metazoa, Chordata, Actinopteri, Salmoniformes, Salmonidae.